GCCGGGCACAAAACACUCCAAAAGCGGCAGGGUUUUCCGUGUCAAAUCGCCAUCUUGGACGGGGCACGUUUUCAGAGGACUGGUGCCGAAUUUACGAAUCUGCUCGGGCCCUAUGUUCUAAAGCUCGUAGGAUUUUCGCUAGCUUCGGAAAAUAAGAUCGGAUGGCGGUAAGGCACAGACGGAAGAACAAGGUUUGAUUUGGUAUCAAACACGGCCAGAAUUUCGCGUGUUUCCUGCGCCUAUUCUUCAAAGGGAUACGGUCUUUCCGCGACUUUUCCCAAAAUGUCUUGAAUGCAGUUAUUUUGAGUCCCGAUUUUAUUUUUACGUCGAAAGAAUUUAUUGAAAAUCAGCAGGGUAGUCCGAUUCUUGAAUCCCUGAAUGUCUUCGCUAUGAUUUUUGUUUUGUAUAUUUCUCCUCUGUUCUCGCGCGAUUAUUUUUGAAACCUCACUCUAAUUUUCAAGUUUAAUUGUAAAUAUGCCAAAGAGGUUUAGUCUCGGAGAGUAAAUGCGAGAGGCUAAAUUAAAGUGACAGAAUGUGAUGGACUCUUCGUGAGAACUGCAGGACCUGGAGGAUGAGUUUUCUUCCUUUUAGCAAAGCAUCGCUGAGAAGAAACUUGAAAGCGAAGCGAGAAAAGCUGAGAAGGCUUAGCAGAAAGAUAAGUGAUAUCCUCAAUAGAAAAUAGAUAGCAGUAAUUAGGUUAUUAUAUUAUCAGGCUAUAUUUAAAUGUAAUCAAUAACCUUACUCUGCAUAGCAGUUAAAAAUAGGUAGGUAGAUUCAGACAGUCGUAUGGAAGGUAACAGUCAGGAAGGAGGCAGUCAGAAGGGGUUUUUAAAUGGAAAUGCAGUGUCUAUGAGGAGGAAGAAUCCGACAUGCUUCACUGAGGGAGGGAACAUGCUACCUGCUAUAGUGAUGCUAUAGUGGUGUGCAAGCUUUAAAAUAUCUUAGGGGUAAGAAUUACUGUUGACUACACCCAAAGUGCUGUCACUUAGGGUUACGCUACUAACGUUUACAUGUUUCCAUUAUUUCUCUGUUGUUUUUUAUCUUGCCUUGACAUACAUCCAGAACAUGUUUGAUGUACACACACUUUGUGUACAAGAUAUAAAUGUUGCAUCCAAACAUUUCUUGGUGGCUGAUUGCCAUGGCUCUAAGAGUCAAAUAAUAAAGGUAUGUAAUCCUGUAAAAAAUAGCAUGUUUGAUGUACUCUGAGGUGGAUUGUCUCCUUAAAAAGGUUUGUUAAAAGAUGUAAGAGGCUAAUUUGAUAGAAAAAAAAGAAUCUAUUUGUAAGCAUCCAAUGGUUAAAUGCUUUUUUUAUGAAUGAUAGACUUUGAUAGGUGAUGAAAUAUUUUUUUAAAAUAAAAUGUUUGAUUUUCUAUUAUCUUUAUUGAACUUUUUUUGUAAAUUAUCUUAUGGCAGCCUAAGACAGAGUUGGUAUACUUUCUACUUAUCCCAUUAUCUUUACAAAUGCUAAAUGCAGAUCUCUUAUGUUAUACAAUUACAAAUUACAG
Molecule: long non-coding RNA, 1505 nt
Organism: Nematostella vectensis (starlet sea anemone)
Lineage: Eukaryota; Metazoa; Cnidaria; Anthozoa; Actiniaria; Edwardsiidae
Exons: 2
Source: RefSeq, a predicted model, not a curated record